This is a long non-coding RNA of Amphimedon queenslandica, 257 nucleotides long. RefSeq lists it as uncharacterized. The record is from RefSeq and is a predicted model, not a curated record. The transcript has 3 exons. NCBI's taxonomy places the organism in Eukaryota, Metazoa, Porifera, Demospongiae, Haplosclerida, Niphatidae.
AGUUGCAUUCAGUUUACAGUCUGCAACAAUCUAACUCAUUGGUGUCUUUACUAAUCUUCAAGCAACUGUUCUUUUAAGAACAGGUAAAGAUGUGGGACAGUAGGUUCAAAGGCAAUAUGAGCCCGCCCACUCUUUCUUUAUUUUGCAAACUGUUCCUCUUUAUCUUGACUCUUGGACUUGCUAAUGGUAUUCCUCAACUUAUUACUCCUACUCAAGUUGAUGUCUCCAAUAAUGUUACUAGUUUGAUUGAAUUUGAG